GGAGAGGUGCUCGAGUGGUUGAAGAGGCACGCCUGGAAAGCGUGUAUACCCCUAAAGGGUAUCGGGGGUUCGAAUCCCCCUCUCUCCGC
This 89-nucleotide transfer RNA is filed under the name Bacteroides uniformis. RNAcentral's name for it is "tRNA-Ser(gga)". It matches the Rfam family "tRNA". From Rfam's summary of the family: Transfer RNA (tRNA) molecules are approximately 80 nucleotides in length. Their secondary structure includes four short double-helical elements and three loops (D, anti-codon, and T loops). Lineage: Bacteria; Pseudomonadati; Bacteroidota; Bacteroidia; Bacteroidales; Bacteroidaceae. The record is from RNAcentral. RNAcentral also lists the same sequence under 3 other names.